RNAcentral lists this long non-coding RNA (1317 nucleotides) under Mus musculus (house mouse). RNAcentral's name for it is "long non-coding RNA chr8:22219519-22220836". The record is from RNAcentral. Lineage: Eukaryota; Metazoa; Chordata; Mammalia; Rodentia; Muridae.
AUGUUAACGGUCGUGUAGAGAAAGCACCUGACGAUAAGUAUUGCUGACAAUAGAACCUGGCUAGUACCACCUCCAGAUUGCUGGAGCUUUCAGUAGGUUGCCUGACUUCAUAUGUAUAGCAUGGUGACGUUACCUCAAACUCAGGGAGCCCAUAGGCCAGAAGGUGCUUUUCGGAGGCUGAGCUGAGGUGGAAGGGUGGUGAUAGCGUGGCCUUGGAGCCACAGGGAGGGAUGCGCAGGCACACUAUCUGGGAGUUUGAGGACACUGUCUGGAUGAGGUGGAGGCUACUGCAGAUGCCCUGUGGAGAAGUGCCAGUGUCCUCAGCUGCAAGCCAGGGAGCCCUACCCUGACACUUUCCUGGACAGUGAUGGCCUUUGCCUCUGUCCUCCAGUAUCUCGAGCCCGCUGUGGCCAAGGCCUUUUGUGUGGGUUUUCCAGUCUGUCACUGGUUGUGGUGACCUUAGGUCUUCCCUAAUCACCUCAUUGUUUAUCUCAGGGUUACUUGAGGGUUAAUUCAGUGUUGGCUACCCAAAUCUUCUAAGGAUUGGGUAGACCAGUGUCAGUUUAUUAGUGUGUCUCGGCUCUCUGUGGGAUACACGUAGUCUAUCACAUGGCCCUGCUGCACACACACACACACACACACACACACACACACACACGCAAGCACGCACAUUCCUCUUGUCAAACUAAGGAUCUUAAAAUCCACAGGUCACUGAUAAUCUGUUUUAGCACUUGGAUUGGUUGUAAGGUUUUUGGGUUGUAGAGUCCAAUGGAUCUAGCUUGUGGCUUCACCACCACAAACAUACUGCAUCUGUUUAUUCAGUGUGACAGCAGAUUAACAAAAAAAGAGUCUGAUGAAGUGGCAUAAACAUACUUUGGAAAAGUCACAUGGAUUUAAGAAAGAAAGAAAGAAAGAAAGAACAUUGUUUGGGUUUGUUGCUGUUGUUGGUUUGCCCUUCUGGCGCUUCUUUUCUUGCCCAGUGUGCCGCUGGGUCCUUUGGUACUGGCUGUGCUUAAAUACAAACCAAUCAAGCCCCGGGCGGACAAAUGCCCUGCUCUUGGUGCUCAUCACUGUAAUUUUUUUCCUGACUUUGCUCUCAGGAGCGUGAGUAUGUAAAUAUCUGAUAAUGAAUAGUUUAGUCACUGUCAAGAAAAUUAAUUUACAUUGUAUAACUGAAGACUCUUUUCAGGGUUAGGUGAUUUGCAUUGAUGUAUAUAUAGUAAAAUUGCUGUAAAAUUUUAAACCGAUUUUCUUAACUUGAUGUUCUUUUUAAACUUUCUGUAAGAUACAUGCAAAUGAUAAACGUUCAGUCACACU